RNAcentral lists this unclassified non-coding RNA (297 nucleotides) under uncultured fungus. RNAcentral describes it as "partial contains 5.8S ribosomal RNA, internal transcribed spacer 2, and large subunit ribosomal RNA". The stretch from base 1 to 52 matches the Rfam family "5.8S ribosomal RNA", at positions 103 to 154 of the family's 154-position model. Lineage: Eukaryota; Fungi. The record is from RNAcentral.
AACGCACCUUGCGCUCCUUGGUAUUCCGAGGAGCAUGCCUGUUUGAGUGUCAUGAAGUUCUCAACCUUUCUGUCUUUUUUUUCAAGACAGUCAGGCUUGGAUUGUGGGAGUUUGCAGGCUUCUUCGAGUCAGCUCUCCUUAAACGCAUUAGCAAAAUUGUUGCUGGUUCAUCAUUGAUAUGAUAAUUAUCUAUAUCAUUGAAAGCUGGCUUGGAUUUCGCUUCCAACCGUCCGCCAAGGGGGGACUACUUUUGACAUCUUUGACCUCAAAUCAGGUAGGACUACCCGCUGAACUUAA